Molecule: ribosomal RNA, 251 nt
Filed under: uncultured prokaryote
Description: partial 16S rRNA
Rfam family: Bacterial small subunit ribosomal RNA
Source: RNAcentral
ACGAAGGGGGCUAGCGUUGUUCGGAAUUACCGGGCGUAAAGCGCACGUAGGCGGAUAUUUAAGUCAGGGGUGAAAUCCCAGAGCUCAACUCUGGAACUGCCUUUGAUACUGGGUAUCUUGAGUAUGGAAGAGGUAAGUGGAAUUCCGAGUGUAGAGGUGAAAUUCGUAGAUAUUCGGAGGAACACCAGUGGCGAAGGCGACUUUCUGGACUGUAACUGACACUGAGGCACGAAAGCGUGGGGAGCAAACAG